RNAcentral lists this long non-coding RNA (457 nucleotides) under Marmota monax (woodchuck). The record is from RNAcentral. Lineage: Eukaryota; Metazoa; Chordata; Mammalia; Rodentia; Sciuridae.
AAGUACACAGUGCAGCUGCAAUAAAAUGUAAUGCUCUCUCUUUCUUUACAGAAGAGCUGCCCCGCUUUGGUCAUGGAUUCCACUUACCUGGGACUAACCCCACUUUGAUCGUGGAUCCCACUUAUUGGGACUAACCGGUGCACCACCCCUGACUGCUGAUAGUUCUGGUUCCCGGGUUUCGGCACCACUUGUCGUGACCCCUUGCCCGCAAGGAAGACGCAACUCAGGAAUCUUCUUUCAGCAGUUUAUUCAGGCCUUUUAUAUUUCUUCUUCCCUCUCUCGGAUGCCCCUCCCAGCCUUAAUAAAGCAUCUCAAGCCCCAAUGCGAAGCUGCCACAUGGAGCUUUCUCAUAGGGUGGUGAAAAACCAUGCACCAACUCUCCCAAAUAAGGAGUUGUUUGUCACAGACCACAGCGGAGCCAGCGCCAUCUUGUAAUGGCGACCAUAGUCUGCAGAAA